GACGAACGCUGGCGGCGUGCUUAACACAUGCGAGUCGAACGAUGAACCCGGAGCUUGCUCUGGGGGAUUAGUGGCGAACGGGUGAGUAACACGUGAGUAACCUGCCCUGGACUCUGGGAUAAGCGUUGGAAACGACGUCUAAUACCGGAUAGGACCUUGGAUCGCAUGAUCUGGGGUGGAAAGUUUUUUCGGUCUGGGAUGGACUCGCGGCCUAUCAGCUUGUUGGUGAGGUAAUGGCUCACCAAGGCGUCGACGGGUAGCCGGCCUGAGACGGUGACCGGCCACACUGGGACUGAGACACGGCCCAGACGCCUACGGGAGGCAGCAGUGGGGAAUAUUGCACAAUGGGCGAAAGCCUGAUGCAGCAACGCCGCGUGCGGGAUGACGGCCUUCGGGUUGUAAACCGCUUUUAGUAGGGAAGAAGGGCUUCGGCUUGACGGUACCUGCAGAAAAAGGACCGGCUAACUACGUG
RNAcentral lists this ribosomal RNA (472 nucleotides) under uncultured bacterium. Its description in RNAcentral is "partial 16S ribosomal RNA". It matches the Rfam family "Bacterial small subunit ribosomal RNA", at positions 28 to 507 of the family's 1533-position model. The record is from RNAcentral.